CUGUGAGCUCGAUGAGUAGGGCGGGACACGUGGUAUCCUGUCUGAAUAUGGGGGGACCAUCCUCCAAGGCUAAAUACUCCUGACUGACCGAUAGUGAACCAGUACCGUGAGGGAAAGGCGAAAAGAACCCCGGCGAGGGGAGUGAAAAAGAACCUGAAACCGUGUACGUACAAGCAGUGGGAGCCUCUUUAUGGGGUGACUGCGUACCUUUUGUAUAAUGGGUCAGCGACUUAUAUUCUGUAGCAAGGUUAACCGAAUAGGGGAGCCGAAGGGAAACCGAGUCUUAACUGGGCGUUAAGUUGCAGGGUAUAGACCCGAAACCCGGUGAUCUAGCCAUGGGCAGGUUGAAGGUUGGGUAACACUAACUGGAGGACCGAACCGACUAAUGUUGAAAAAUUAGCGGAUGACUUGUGGCUGGGGGUGAAAGGCCAAUCAAACCGGGAGAUAGCUGGUUCUCCCCGAAAGCUAUUUAGGUAGCGCCUCGUGAAUUCAUCUCCGGGGGUAGAGCACUGUUUCGGCAAGGGGGUCAUCCCGACUUACCAACCCGAUGCAAACUGCGAAUACCGGAGAAUGUUAUCACGGGAGACACACGGCGGGUGCUAACGUCCGUCGUGAAGAGGGAAACAACCCAGACCGCCAGCUAAGGUCCCAAAGUCAUGGUUAAGUGGGAAACGAUGUGGGAAGGCCCAGACAGCCAGGAUGUUGGCUUAGAAGCAGCCAUCAUUUAAAGAAAGCGUAAUAGCUCACUGGUCGAGUCGGCCUGCGCGGAAGAUGUAACGGGGCUAAACCAUGCACCGAAGCUGCGGCAGCGACGCUUAUGCGUUGUUGGGUAGGGGAGCGUUCUGUAAGCCUGCGAAGGUGUGCUGUGAGGCAUGCUGGAGGUAUCAGAAGUGCGAAUGCUGACAUAAGUAACGAUAAAGCGGGUGAAAAGCCCGCUCGCCGGAAGACCAAGGGUUCCUGUCCAACGUUAAUCGGGGCAGGGUGAGUCGACCCCUAAGGCGAGGCCGAAAGGCGUAGUCGAUGGGAAACAGGUUAAUAUUCCUGUACUUGGUGUUACUGCGAAGGGGGGACGGAGAAGGCUAUGUUGGCCGGGCGACGGUUGUCCCGGUUUAAGCGUGUAGGCUGGUUUUCCAGGCAAAUCCGGAAAAUCAAGGCUGAGGCGUGAUGACGAGGCACUACGGUGCUGAAGCAACAAAUGCCCUGCUUCCAGGAAAAGCCUCUAAGCAUCAGGUAACAUCAAAUCGUACCCCAAACCGACACAGGUGGUCAGGUAGAGAAUACCAAGGCGCUUGAGAGAACUCGGGUGAAGGAACUAGGCAAAAUGGUGCCGUAACUUCGGGAGAAGGCACGCUGAUAUGUAGGUGAAGCGACUUGCUCGUGGAGCUGAAAUCAGUCGAAGAUACCAGCUGGCUGCAACUGUUUAUUAAAAACACAGCACUGUGCAAACACGAAAGUGGACGUAUACGGUGUGACGCCUGCCCGGUGCCGGAAGGUUAAUUGAUGGGGUUAGCGGUAACGCGAAGCUCUUGAUCGAAGCCCCGGUAAACGGCGGCCGUAACUAUAACGGUCCUAAGGUAGCGAAAUUCCUUGUCGGGUAAGUUCCGACCUGCACGAAUGGCGUAAUGAUGGCCAGGCUGUCUCCACCCGAGACUCAGUGAAAUUGAACUCGCUGUGAAGAUGCAGUGUACCCGCGGCAAGACGGAAAGACCCCGUGAACCUUUACUAUAGCUUGACACUGAACAUUGAGCCUUGAUGUGUAGGAUAGGUGGGAGGCUUUGAAGUGUGGACGCCAGUCUGCAUGGAGCCGACCUUGAAAUACCACCCUUUAAUGUUUGAUGUUCUAACGUUGGCCCCUAAUCGGGGUUGCGGACAGUGUCUGGUGGGUAGUUUGACUGGGGCGGUCUCCUCCUAAAGAGUAACGGAGGAGCACGAAGGUUGGCUAAUCCUGGUCGGACAUCAGGAGGUUAGUGCAAUGGCAUAAGCCAGCUUGACUGCGAGCGUGACGGCGCGAGCAGGUGCGAAAGCAGGUCAUAGUGAUCCGGUGGUUCUGAAUGGAAGGGCCAUCGCUCAACGGAUAAAAGGUACUCCGGGGAUAACAGGCUGAUACCGCCCAAGAGUUCAUAUCGACGGCGGUGUUUGGCACCUCGAUGUCGGCUCAUCACAUCCUGGGGCUGAAGUAGGUCCCAAGGGUAUGGCUGUUCGCCAUUUAAAGUGGUACGCGAGCUGGGUUUAGAACGUCGUGAGACAGUUCGGUCCCUAUCUGCCGUGGGCGCUGGAGAACUGAGGGGGGCUGCUCCUAGUACGAGAGGACCGGAGUGGACGCAUCACUGGUGUUCGGGUUGUCAUGCCAAUGGCACUGCCCGGUAGCUAAAUGCGGAAGAGAUAAGUGCUGAAAGCAUCUAAGCACGAAACUUGCCCCGAGAUGAGUUCUCCCUGACUCCCUGAGAGUCCUGAAGGAACGUUGAAGACGACGACGUUGAUAGGCCGGGUGUGUAAGCGCAGCGAUGCGUUGAGCUAACCGGUACUAAUGAACCGUGAGGCUUAACCUUACAACGCCGAAG
RNAcentral lists this ribosomal RNA (2561 nucleotides) under Escherichia coli. Its description in RNAcentral is "partial 23S ribosomal RNA". It matches the Rfam family "Bacterial large subunit ribosomal RNA", at positions 397 to 2925 of the family's 2925-position model. Lineage: Bacteria; Pseudomonadati; Pseudomonadota; Gammaproteobacteria; Enterobacterales; Enterobacteriaceae. The record is from RNAcentral.